This 22-nucleotide unclassified non-coding RNA is filed under the name Mus musculus (house mouse). RNAcentral describes it as "oocyte_clustered_small_RNA10825". The record is from RNAcentral. Lineage: Eukaryota; Metazoa; Chordata; Mammalia; Rodentia; Muridae.
AUCACAGUAGCCCUGAGUUGCU